GGGGCUGUAACUCAGUGGUAGAGUGUUCGCUUUGCAUUGCCCUAAUCUUCGGAUUGGAUAUGAUCUUAUAUGCGAAAAGCCCAGGGUUCGAUCCCCUGCCGCUCCA
Molecule: transfer RNA, 106 nt
Organism: Pseudogymnoascus pannorum
Lineage: Eukaryota; Fungi; Ascomycota; Leotiomycetes; Thelebolales; Thelebolaceae
Rfam family: tRNA
About the family: Transfer RNA (tRNA) molecules are approximately 80 nucleotides in length.
Source: Rfam